GACGAACGCUGGCGGCGUGCUUAACACAUGCAAGUCGAACGGUAAGGCCCUUCGGGGUACACGAGUGGCGAACGGGUGAGUAACACGUGGGUGAUCUGCCCUGCACUUCGGGAUAAGCCUGGGAAACUGGGUCUAAUACCGGAUAGGACCACUGCCUGCAUGGGUGGUGGUGGAAAGCUUUUGCGGUGUGGGAUGGGCCCGCGGCCUAUAAGCUUGUUGGUGGGGUGAUGGCCUACCAAGGCGACGACGGGUAGCCGGCCUGAGAGGGUGACCGGCCACACUGGGACUGAGAUACGGCCCAGACUCCUACGGGAGGCAGCAGUGGGGAAUAUUGCACAAUGGGCGCAAGCCUGAUGCAGCGACGCCGCGUGAGGGAUGACGGCCUUCGGGUUGUAAACCUCUUUCAGAACCGACGAAGCGCAAGUGACGGUAGGUGCAGAAGAAGGACCGGCCAACUACGUGCCAGCCGCCGCAGUAA
RNAcentral lists this ribosomal RNA (478 nucleotides) under uncultured bacterium. Its description in RNAcentral is "partial 16S ribosomal RNA". It matches the Rfam family "Bacterial small subunit ribosomal RNA", at positions 28 to 523 of the family's 1533-position model. The record is from RNAcentral.